GCAUCGGUGGUUCAGUGGUAGAAUGCUCGCCUGCCACGCGGGCGCCCGGAUGAUUCCGCCGAUGCA
Molecule: transfer RNA, 66 nt
Filed under: Nephila pilipes (giant wood spider)
Lineage: Eukaryota; Metazoa; Arthropoda; Arachnida; Araneae; Nephilidae
Rfam family: tRNA
About the family: Transfer RNA (tRNA) molecules are approximately 80 nucleotides in length. Their secondary structure includes four short double-helical elements and three loops (D, anti-codon, and T loops).
Source: Rfam by way of RNAcentral